CCCUGUGGCUCAGUUGGUAGAGCAUGGUGUUUGCAAUGCCAACAUGGUGUGUGCAACGCCAGGGUUGUGGGUUCAAUUCCCACAGGGG
Non-coding RNA from Salmo salar (Atlantic salmon), 88 nucleotides. NCBI's taxonomy places the organism in Eukaryota, Metazoa, Chordata, Actinopteri, Salmoniformes, Salmonidae. The record is from Rfam.